AGAGCGAACGCUGGCGGCAGGCUUAACACAUGCAAGUCGAGCGGGCGUAGCAAUACGUCAGCGGCAGACGGGUGAGUAACGCGUGGGAACGUACCUUUUGGUUCGGAACAACCCAGGGAAACUUGGGCUAAUACCGGAUAAGCCCUUACGGGGAAAGAUUUAUCGCCGAAAGAUCGGCCCGCGUCUGAUUAGCUAGUUGGUGAGGUAAUGGCUCACCAAGGCGACGAUCAGUAGCUGGUCUGAGAGGAUGAUCAGCCACAUUGGGACUGAGACACGGCCCAAACUCCUACGGGAGGCAGCAGUGGGGAAUAUUGGACAAUGGGCGCAAGCCUGAUCCAGCCAUGCCGCGUGAGUGAUGACGGCCUUAGGGUUGUAAAGCUCUUUCGCUCGGGACGAUAAUGACGGUACCGAGAUAAGAACGCCCCGGCUAACUUCGCGCCAGCAGCCGC
Molecule: ribosomal RNA, 449 nt
Filed under: uncultured bacterium
Lineage: Bacteria
Description: SSU rRNA
Rfam family: Bacterial small subunit ribosomal RNA
Source: RNAcentral